AAUCUUGCGCAAUGGGCGAAAGCCUGACGCAGCAACGCCUCGUGCGGGAUGACGGCCUUCGUGGUUGUAAACCGCUUUCAGCAGGGCCGAAACUGACGGUACCUAAGGAGGAAGCCCCGGCUAACUACGUGCCAGCAGCCGCGGUAAUACGUAGGGGGCAAGCGUUGUCCGGAAUUAUUGGGCGUAAAGGGUGCGUAGGCGGCCUUUUAAGUCAGGUGUGAAAGCCCACGGCUUAACCGUGGGAUUGCAUUUGAAACUGGAAGGCUUGAGUAUCGGAGAGGGUAGUGGAAUUCCCAGUGUAGCGGUGGAAUGCGUAGAUAUUGGGAGGAACACCAGUGGCGAAGGCGACUACCUGGACGAAAACUGACGCUGAGGCACGAAAGCUAGGGGAGCAAA
Molecule: ribosomal RNA, 396 nt
Filed under: uncultured bacterium
Lineage: Bacteria
Description: partial 16S ribosomal RNA
Rfam family: Bacterial small subunit ribosomal RNA
Source: RNAcentral